AUUGAACGCUGGCGGCAGGCCUAACACAUGCAAGUCGAACGAGUGGCGGACGGGUGAGUAAUGUCUGGGAAACUGCCUGAUGGAGGGGGAUAACUACUGGAAACGGUAGCUAAUACCGCAUACCAUCAGAUGUGCCCAGAGGGGAUUGGCUGGUUGGUGGGGGAACGGCUCACAAAGGCGACGAUCCCUAGCUGGUCUGAGAGGAUGACCGGCCACACGGGAACUGGGAAACGGCCCAGACUCCGACGGGGGGAAGCAGUGGGGAAUAUUGCACAAUGGGCGCAAGCCUGAUGCAGCCAUGCCGCGUGUAUGAAGAAGGCCUUCGGGUUGUAAAGUACUUUCAGCGGGGAGGCGUUACCCGAAGAAGAAGCACCGGCUAACUCCGUGCCAGCCGCCGCGGUAAUAC
RNAcentral lists this ribosomal RNA (406 nucleotides) under uncultured bacterium. RNAcentral describes it as "partial 16S ribosomal RNA". It matches the Rfam family "Bacterial small subunit ribosomal RNA", at positions 29 to 526 of the family's 1533-position model. The record is from RNAcentral.